This 187-nucleotide unclassified non-coding RNA is filed under the name Faramea oblongifolia. RNAcentral describes it as "partial external transcribed spacer". The record is from RNAcentral. Lineage: Eukaryota; Viridiplantae; Streptophyta; Magnoliopsida; Gentianales; Rubiaceae.
AAAAAAAUACAUGCGAAUGCCGCGGAACGCGAUCGUCGCCUAACGGUUCACCCGUAGAAGCACCGUUUAGAACGGGCAGCGCACGGACGAACGGCACAAAUUUCGACGAACGAAUUCCAUCAACGUAGGUAUGCAACACAGGAAACCGCACGCAACGGACGAGGCUAACGUCGCUCUCGCACCAACG